GGGAAUGUAGCUCAGUGGUAGAGCACCUGCCUAGCAAGUGUGGCCCUGGGUAACAUCCCCAGCAUUGCAA
Molecule: transfer RNA, 70 nt
Filed under: Ictidomys tridecemlineatus (thirteen-lined ground squirrel)
Lineage: Eukaryota; Metazoa; Chordata; Mammalia; Rodentia; Sciuridae
Description: Spermophilus tridecemlineatus (thirteen-lined ground squirrel) tRNA
Rfam family: tRNA
About the family: Transfer RNA (tRNA) molecules are approximately 80 nucleotides in length. Their secondary structure includes four short double-helical elements and three loops (D, anti-codon, and T loops). Further hydrogen bonds mediate the characteristic L-shaped molecular structure. tRNAs have two regions of fundamental functional importance: the anti-codon, which is responsible for specific mRNA codon recognition, and the 3' end, to which the tRNAs corresponding amino acid is attached (by aminoacyl-tRNA synthetases). tRNAs cope with the degeneracy of the genetic code in two manners: having more than one tRNA (with a specific anti-codon) for a particular amino acid; and 'wobble' base-pairing, i.e. permitting non-standard base-pairing at the 3rd anti-codon position.
Source: Rfam by way of RNAcentral